UAUUUUGUCAGUUGGCCAGAUAAGCUAUCAAGUGGUGAUAUAAUUGAUCUAUCCACAUAUCAAGAAGAUAAAAAAGAUCACUUAGACACUGGAUGGCUAACCAGGAAGUGGAUAGAUUCAAAUUCAACCAUUUGUAACCACCUGCUAGCCAGCUAACUGGUGCUUAAAAUUAUCCACCAUUUUGUUGAAAUUUCAGGACUUGGUAGAUUAGGGAAAAGCUGAAAAAGUGAAGUGUGAAAAGAG
Molecule: long non-coding RNA, 243 nt
Filed under: Elaeis guineensis (African oil palm)
Lineage: Eukaryota; Viridiplantae; Streptophyta; Magnoliopsida; Arecales; Arecaceae
Description: long non-coding RNA (EGUI_LNC081742)
Source: RNAcentral